Long non-coding RNA from Amblyraja radiata (thorny skate), 125 nucleotides. RefSeq lists it as uncharacterized. NCBI's taxonomy places the organism in Eukaryota, Metazoa, Chordata, Chondrichthyes, Rajiformes, Rajidae. The record is from RefSeq and is a predicted model, not a curated record. The transcript has 3 exons.
CACUGACAACAACAGGUGUACAGUGCAUUCGGAAAAUAUUCAGACCCCUUCACUUUUUCCACGUUUUGUUAUGUUACAGCCUUAUUUUAAAAUGGAUCAAAUUCUUUUUUGUUAUCAUCAAUCUA